Molecule: long non-coding RNA, 206 nt
Organism: Etheostoma cragini (Arkansas darter)
Lineage: Eukaryota; Metazoa; Chordata; Actinopteri; Perciformes; Percidae
Exons: 3
Source: RefSeq, a predicted model, not a curated record
AACUGGUUUGUGACUAGACUGUACAUUGUCCAAUCGGACCCAAACUGCUCAGGGUUUACAAGGUCCCAGCCUGAAGACAUCCUCAUAUCAAUAUUGAGUUAUAUCCUAGUGCCCCCUACUGGCAACAAUAAGUUACAGUCAUGACACUUUGACGUCUUCUUCCUAGCUGGUUGACCAGAUUCACGUCAAAAUUUGGAUACCAUUUU